Molecule: RNA transcript, 1445 nt
Organism: Cercocebus atys (sooty mangabey)
Lineage: Eukaryota; Metazoa; Chordata; Mammalia; Primates; Cercopithecidae
Gene name: stathmin pseudogene
Exons: 1
Source: RefSeq, a predicted model, not a curated record
AAAACAAAAGAGAGUGUGGUCAGGCGGCUUGGACCAAGCAGGGCUUUCCUUAUCCCAGUUGAUUGUGCAGAAUACACUGCCUGUCGCUUGUCUUCUAUUCACCAUGGCGUCUUCUGAUAUCCAGGUGAAAGAACUGGAGAAGCGUGCCUCAGGCCAGGCUUUUGAGCUGAUUCUCAGCCGUCGGUCAAAAGAAUCUGUUCCAGAAUUCCCCCUUUCCCCUCCAAAGAAGAAGGAUCUUUCUCUGGAGGAAAUUCAGAAGAAAUUAGAAGCUGCAGAAGAAAGACGUAAGUCACAUGAAGCUGAGGUCUUAAAGCAGCUGGCUGAGAAACGAGAGCACGAGAAAGAAGUGCUUCAGAAGGCAAUAGAAGAGAACAACAACUUCAGUAAAAUGGCAGAAGAGAAACUGACCCACAAAAUGGAAGCUAACAAAGAGAACCGAAAGGCACAAAUGGCUGCCAAACUGGAGCGUUUGCGAGAGAAGGAUAAGCACAUUGAAGAAGUGCGGAAGAACAAAGAAUCCAAAGACCCUGCUGACGAGACUGAAGCUGACUAAUUUGCUCUGACAACUGACUUUCUCCCCAUCCCCUUCCUAAAUAUCCAAAGACUGUACUGGCCAGUGUCAUUUUAUUUUUUCCCUCCUGACAAAUAUUUUAGAAGCUAAUGUAGGACUGUAUAGGUAGAUUCAGACUGUAAGAUGUUGUUUUAGGGGCUAAAGGGGAGAAACUAAAAGUGUUUUACUCUUUUUCUAAAGUGUUGGUCUUUCUAAUGUAGCUAUUUUUCUUGUUGCAUCUUUUCUACUUCGGUACACUUGGUGUACUGGGUUAAUGGCUAGUACUGUAUUGGCUCUGUGAAAACAUAUUUGUGAAAAGAGUAUGUAGUGGCUUCUUUUGAACUGUUAGAUGCUGAAUAUCUGUUCACUUUUCAAUCCCAAUUCUGUCCCAAUCUUACCAGAUGCUACUGGACUUGAAUGGUUAAUAAAACUGCACAGUGCUGUUGGUGGCAGUGACUUCUUUCGAGUUAGGUUAAUAAAUCAUGCCAUAGAGACCCUCCUGGUUGAUACUUGUUCCAGAUGGGGCCUUGGGGCUGGUAGAAAUACCAAGGCACAAAUGACCGCACGUUCUCUGCCCUCAGUUUCUUGCCCCAGUGUGGUUUGCAUUGUCUACCUCCACAAUGGCCGCUUUGUUUGGAUGCCUCAGCCCAGGUCAGCUGUUACUAUAUUCUUUCAGAUGUUUAUUUGCAAACAAGCAUUUUUUGUUCUGUGUCCCUUUUAAAAGGCAGAUUAAAGGCACAAGCGUGUUACUAGAGAACAGUUUAGAGAGAAUCUCAGGUCCUACUUGGUGGUUUGCUUGCUCUACAUUACAGGUGGGGCAUGUCCUCAUUCUUUCCUGCCAUAAAAACGACGACGCGAGAAUCAGAAUAUUAAUAAAACUUUAUGUGCUGCUGUA